UGUUGUACUGCUCGGCGGUUUUU
This 23-nucleotide small RNA is filed under the name Salmonella enterica subsp. enterica serovar Typhi. RNAcentral's name for it is "StyR-378". Lineage: Bacteria; Pseudomonadati; Pseudomonadota; Gammaproteobacteria; Enterobacterales; Enterobacteriaceae. The record is from RNAcentral.